GACGAACGCUGGCGGCGUGCCUAACACAUGCAAGUCGAACGGAAAGGCCCUGCUUUUGUGGGGUGCUCGAGUGGCGAACGGGUGAGUAACACGUGAGUAACCUGCCCUUGACUUUGGGAUAACUUCAGGAAACUGGGGCUAAUACCGGAUAGGAGCUCCUGCUGCAUGGUGGGGGUUGGAAAGUUUCGGCGGUUGGGGAUGGACUCGCGGCUUAUCAGCUUGUUGGUGGGGUAGUGGCUUACCAAGGCUUUGACGGGUAGCCGGCCUGAGAGGGUGACCGGCCACAUUGGGACUGAGAUACGGCCCAGACUCCUACGGGAGGCAGCAGUGGGGAAUAUUGCACAAUGGGCGGAAGCCUGAUGCAGCAACGCCGCGUGCGGGAUGACGGCCUUCGGGUUGUAAACCGCUUUCGCCUGUGACAAAGCGUGAGUGACGGUAAUGGGUAAAGAAGCACCGGCUAACUACGUG
This 468-nucleotide ribosomal RNA is filed under the name uncultured bacterium. RNAcentral describes it as "partial 16S ribosomal RNA". It matches the Rfam family "Bacterial small subunit ribosomal RNA", at positions 28 to 507 of the family's 1533-position model. The record is from RNAcentral.